Molecule: long non-coding RNA, 2237 nt
Organism: Fundulus heteroclitus (mummichog)
Lineage: Eukaryota; Metazoa; Chordata; Actinopteri; Cyprinodontiformes; Fundulidae
Exons: 8
Source: RefSeq, a predicted model, not a curated record
ACUUCUUUCAAUAAAGACUCAAACUUUUAGUUCCGUGUGUGCGUCCUGAGUUCAUCGGUAAACAAAACCUUGACAGGAAUGUGUAGCCGUAAAAUAUGAAGUACAAAAGCUGUGUACGCCGCAGUUCUUCAAUUGCCCCGCCUGCAGUCCAGAGAUGCUUGCAGUAUCAGUGGAUGGUAAUCGCAAGCUUUAUAGAUUCAAAUCAAAUUCAAGGUACGCUACAUUGUGAAUGACAUGUCAGUUAACUAGUAGAUUGUAUGAACAGCACAUGUAAAAUGGAGAAAUUAUAUAAUGAAAACAAAAUCGUCUGUUUUUCAGCACUCAAGAGCCAGGACAUUUUGAUGUUUUUAUUCAAAAUGAUGAGGAGGUAGCCAAGUUUGUUGAAUACAUCCACACACAAACAAAACAUGCCUCUGGAAAGGGCUCAUGUGGUUCUUCUACAUGGACAGCAGCUAAGGAGUCCUCCAGAAAAAACUCUGGAAAAUUGGAUGAGGAGGGACUGGAAAUAGCUGUCUGCCGCCAUGGGGUCCUCCUUGGGGCACUGAACAUGUUUAGAGGAGAGAUUUUUGCUUACCCUCUCUUCCUCCAGAGGAAGUUAGCAGAAAGUGCCCCAGGAACAAUCUCAUUCCUGUGUUCAGAUGUAGCCUGUUAAUUUUUACCUUAUUUGGCUAAGGUGGUUCAGCAGUGUCCUGAGCACAGGAAUCUGCUGUCCAUGCGUCCCUUUCUUUCAGUUAUGCAUGCGAAGGCACACUCUGGGAAAUGCGAGGUACAUUUCAGCUUUACUGACUAAUUUAAUAGGUGUACAAUAGUUCAUUUAUAAACAACUUCUAAUGUAUCAACUUAUUAGAUCAAAUGGGGAGGUGCGUUCCAGGAAGGUGUGGGUUCAACUAUCGGAGAAGAGGUUGAACAGGUAAACAGUUUCCUGUCUAGGGCAGCCAUCACCACAAAGUACAUGUCUAAAGCAGGAUGAAAAGACAUGCUUACCCUCUUGGCUUUAGGGUGGAAUGAAAGGAAGUUGGAAAACCUGAGUCGCACUUUAAGCCAGAGAUACUUAAAGUUGUUGUUGUCUUUUCUAAUUAUUAGACUGUAAGGAUACUCAAAGAAGAUCUGGACAGCCUGAAUGCUGCAAAAAAGGAGCUUGGCAUUGAUGAUGACACAGUGCAGCUGUGGGUGGCUGAUGUGCAGAAGUGGGCAGAGGAAACUGAUCAAAGUGAUGGUAGCCUUGGUGCACUACAGGCACGGAUAGAGGAGCUGGCUGUCCUCGUCAAAGUACGCAGCCUAAACCUUUACAAACAAACAGAUAGCAACAAGAGGCGACAAGAUACGAAGAGUCAUUUUAAAAGACAAAAAACGCCUGGCAGCAGCUAUUGCUGAGUACAAUCAUCUGGCUGAACCGUCUGGACAAAUUGUGUCCACUGAUGGCAUUAUCCAGACUGACAUGUGGCCUUGGCGAAGUGAAAACCUUCACACCAAAAGGAUGGUAUUUGAUAAGUUUAUGGCUGUGCAACGCCUGAAGGAGGAAGAAGUAAUCCUCUGUAAGGAAAUGCUGCAACACUGGAUAGCACUAAAGAUACAAUACUUGACACUGGGAGCCCUUUCUUCAAACUCCUCUCUUGUUGACCUCUCUGAGGAUGCCCAAAAAGGACUGCAGUGUCUGGUUCAUAAGAGGCUCAGCAAACUGAAAGCAGAAAUGUGUUUAGUCAAGGGCCAUUACAACACUAUCCUGAAUGAUAACUCACACCUGGAGAUGGAGUUGGAAGAAGAAGACAUAGAACUUGAUACUAUAUACUCUGAUUUCAGCUCUUCUGAUGAGGACUCUGACUGAAUGUCAUCUGCCAUCAAAAAUGCUUCAAUUACUGUUGUCGUUGUGGUUGUUGACGUGUUGAUGGUUGUGGUUGCUGUGGUUGAGUAUGUUGUAUGAUGCUUGUGUCCUUGGGGUUUUGUUGUGUACAAAGUUUAACAGGGUUUCUAUGGCUUUGGAUCAAAUUGUCAUUAAGCAAUAAUCAAUGUGUGUUAAUGUGUUAAAUAAUUAAGAUGUCAAACUUCACACAUAGCUAAAUCCUCAUCUGUCUAUAAAAGAUUGUGUCCAUAAUACAGACAGUCAAAUGUUGUGUAUUUACAAGUUGCAGUCAGACAGCUUUACAUGUUUUCCAGUCUUAUGUGGGUUUAUUUUUUUUAUUAUUAUUUUUUAAACUUGACAUUGCAUUGCAUUGCCCAUUGCCCAUUAAUCCCCGCCC